RNAcentral lists this long non-coding RNA (520 nucleotides) under Zea mays. Its description in RNAcentral is "long non-coding RNA (ZMAY_LNC000907)". The record is from RNAcentral. Lineage: Eukaryota; Viridiplantae; Streptophyta; Magnoliopsida; Poales; Poaceae.
AAACCUAAACCUAAUCCCCUCUCGUGUCUCUCUCAUGACUCACGCAGCCGCUCUCCGGCCCCCGCCUCUCCCUCGUCCGCUCCACUUUGCUUGACGGCUCCGCCCCCCAAUCCGAGGCAUACGUCGGUGAGCCUGUGCCAGCCGUCGACGGAUCUGACACUCUGGUGACCGGUGCUCUAACCCUCCUCUCCUAUCCCUUCAGUGACCCUUUCUGUAACCCUAAUCCUCGAUCUGGUCGCUCUGGUAUUAUUGUCUCCGCUCCUCUCGUUGCGUCGUUUCCUCGUCGGUCGUGUAGCCUCAUUGGUGGAUCUGGUGCUCUGGCAUGUAGGUAUGAUCUAGUAACCCUAAUCCUCGAUUUUGUUUGUUGUUCCUGAGUUCUUCAUUUCCCACUGAUUCCCUCUCCUCUCUGCCGGUCUUCUACCUUGUAGACGACGUUGGCCAUCAGGUUGGUGCCGCCCGCCGUGAGCAGCCGGAGACGUCGGCGAGGUGAUGGGUUGGCUGGCUGACGGCUAGUGUGUUG